Long non-coding RNA from Zea mays, 391 nucleotides. RefSeq lists it as uncharacterized. The transcript has 2 exons. The record is from RefSeq and is a predicted model, not a curated record. Lineage: Eukaryota; Viridiplantae; Streptophyta; Magnoliopsida; Poales; Poaceae.
UUUUGUGAGAUAUAGCCUGCCCGAGAGAGGGAGUUUUUAAAAGCGGUACAUAAAUGUGUUUCUGGUGGAGGUAAAGUUCUAAUUCCAACGUUUGCUCUGGGAAGAGCUCAGGUAUUGUAGUUCUCUUAAUUCUACUUUAUGGGACAAAGUGAUGGUUAAGUGUGAUAACUAUAUAUGACUUAAAUGAGCAAGUUUCCCUGAGAAGUACCAUUCUGAGGGCACACUGUUCAAAGGUUUCAUAAUUUGUGAUGACUUGUUCCACUUUUUAAAAAAAUCAGUAGAGUUGUCUGGACAGCUAACCUCUUGACUGCUUAUGUUUGAUUUGUAUUUGAUAUGUGCUUUUAAUUAUUUAUUAACUAGCAGUAGACUCCUAAUUCCAUGCUUGGUUAAU